CACGUAGGGGGCAAGCGUUGUCCGGAUUUAUUGGGCGUAAAGAGCUCGUAGGCGGUUCGGUAAGUCGGGUGUGAAACCUCCAGGCUCAACCUGGAGACGCCACCCGAUACUGCUGUGACUAGAGUCCGGUAGGGGAGCGUGGAAUUCCUGGUGUAGCGGUGAAAUGCGCAGAUAUCAGGAGGAACACCAGCGGCGAAGGCGGCGCUCUGGGCCGGAACUGACGCUGAGGAGCGAAAGCGUGGGGAGUAAACAGG
RNAcentral lists this ribosomal RNA (254 nucleotides) under uncultured bacterium. RNAcentral describes it as "partial 16S ribosomal RNA". It matches the Rfam family "Bacterial small subunit ribosomal RNA", at positions 524 to 776 of the family's 1533-position model. The record is from RNAcentral.